This 631-nucleotide ribosomal RNA is filed under the name uncultured archaeon. RNAcentral's name for it is "bacterial SSU rRNA". It matches the Rfam family "Archaeal small subunit ribosomal RNA", at positions 325 to 957 of the family's 1478-position model. The record is from RNAcentral.
ACGGGGUGCAGCAGGCGCGAAAACUUCACAAUGUGCGAAAGCACGAUGAGGGAAUCCCAAGUGCUUGCUCGUAAGAGUAAACUGUUUCUAUGUUUAAAACGCAUGGAGAGUAAGAGCUGGGUAAGACGGGUGCCAGCCGCCGCGGUAAUACCUGCAGCUCGAGUGGUGGCCGCUAUUAUUGGGCCUAAAACGUCCGUAGCCGGUUUAAUAAAUGCCCGGGUAAAUCGUGUAGCUUAACUAUACGAAUUCCGGGUAGACUGUUAAACUUGAGACCGGGAGAGGCUAGAGGUACUCCUGGGGUAGAGGUGAAAUUCUGUAAUCCUGAGGGGACCACCAGUGGCGAAGGCGUCUGGCUAGAACGGGUCUGACGGUGAGGAACGAAGCCCUGGGGCGCGAACCGGAUUAGAUACCCGGGUAGUCCAGGGUGUAAACGCUGCUUGCUUGAUGUUAGUUGGGCUCCGAGCCCAACUAGUGUCGGAGAGAAGUUGUUAAGCAAGCUGCCUGGGAAGUACGGUCGCAAGGCUGAAACUUAAAGGAAUUGGCGGGGGAGCACAGCAACGGGUGGAGCGUGCGGUUUAAUUGGAUUCAACGCCGGAAAACUCACCGGAGGCGACGGUUACAUGAAGGCCAG